UACGGAGGGUGCAAGCGUUAUCCGGAUUCACUGGGUUCAAAGGGAGUGUAGGCGGGUAGUUAAGUCAGUGGUGAAAUCUCCAGGCUCAACCUGGAAACUGCCAUUGAUACUAUCUAUCUUGAAUAUUGUUGAGGUAGGCGGAAUAAGUCAUGUAGCGGUGAAAUGCAUAGAUAUCGUCCAGAACACCGAUAGCGAAGGCAGCUAACUAAGGAGUAACUGACGCUGAGGCACGAAAGUGUGGGGAUCAAACAGG
Molecule: ribosomal RNA, 253 nt
Filed under: uncultured bacterium
Lineage: Bacteria
Description: partial 16S ribosomal RNA
Rfam family: Bacterial small subunit ribosomal RNA
Source: RNAcentral